Molecule: ribosomal RNA, 887 nt
Filed under: Staphylococcus aureus
Lineage: Bacteria; Bacillati; Bacillota; Bacilli; Caryophanales; Staphylococcaceae
Description: partial 23S ribosomal RNA
Rfam family: Bacterial large subunit ribosomal RNA
Source: RNAcentral
AGUCAGAGCCCGUUAAUGGGUGAUGGCGUGCCUUUUGUAGAAUGAACCGGCGAGUUACGAUUUGAUGCAAGGUUAAGCAGUAAAUGUGGAGCCGUAGCGAAAGCGAGUCUGAAUAGGGCGUUUAGUAUUUGGUCGUAGACCCGAAACCAGGUGAUCUACCCUUGGUCAGGUUGAAGUUCAGGUAACACUGAAUGGAGGACCGAACCGACUUACGUUGAAAAGUGAGCGGAUGAACUGAGGGUAGCGGAGAAAUUCCAAUCGAACCUGGAGAUAGCUGGUUCUCUCCGAAAUAGCUUUAGGGCUAGCCUCAAGUGAUGAUUAUUGGAGGUAGAGCACUGUUUGGACGAGGGGCCCCUCUCGGGUUACCGAAUUCAGACAAACUCCGAAUGCCAAUUAAUUUAACUUGGGAGUCAGAACAUGGGUGAUAAGGUCCGUGUUCGAAAGGGAAACAGCCCAGACCACCAGCUAAGGUCCCAAAAUAUAUGUUAAGUGGAAAAGGAUGUGGCGUUGCCCAGACAACUAGGAUGUUGGCUUAGAAGCAGCCAUCAUUUAAAGAGUGCGUAAUAGCUCACUAGUCGAGUGACACUGCGCCGAAAAUGUACCGGGGCUAAACAUAUUACCGAAGCUGUGGAUUGUCCUUUGGACAAUGGUAGGAGAGCGUUCUAAGGGCGUUGAAGCAUGAUCGUAAGGACAUGUGGAGCGCUUAGAAGUGAGAAUGCCGGUGUGAGUAGCGAAAGACGGGUGAGAAUCCCGUCCACCGAUUGACUAAGGUUUCCAGAGGAAGGCUCGUCCGCUCUGGGUUAGUCGGGUCCUAAGCUGAGGCCGACAGGCGUAGGCGAUGGAUAACAGGUUGAUAUUCCUGUACCACCUAUAAUCGUUUUAAUCGA